AUUUGAAAUCUGGCUCUUUUAGGGUCCGAGUUGUAAUUUGCAGAGGGCGCUUUGGCGUUGGCAGCGGUCCAAGUUCCUUGGAACAGGACGUCACAGAGGGUGAGAAUCCCGUACGUGGUCGCUGGCCUUCGCCGUGUAAAGCCUCUUCGACGAGUCGAGUUGUUUGGGAAUGCAGCUCUAAAUGGGAGGUAAAUUUCUUCUAAAGCUAAAUACUGGCCAGAGACCGAUAGCGCACAAGUAGAGUGAUCGAAAGAUGAAAAGCACUUUGGAAAGAGAGUCAAAUAGCACGUGAAAUUGUUAAAAGGGAAGCGCUUGCAGCCAGACUUGCCCGUAGUUGCUCAUCCAGGCUUUUGCCUGGUGCAUUCUUCUAUGGGCAGGCCAGCAUCAGUUUGGGCGGUUGGAUAAAGGUCUCUGUCAUGUACCUCCUUUCGGGGAGGCCUUAUAGGGGAGACGACAUGCAACCAGCCUGGACUGAGGUCCGCGCAUUCGCUAGGAUGCUGGCGUAAUGGCUGUAAGCGGCCCGUCUUGAAACACGGACCAAGGAGUCUAACAUCUAUGCGAGUGUUUGGGUGUCAAGCCCGAACGCGCAAUGAAAGUGAACGGAGGUGGGAACCCUUAAGGGUGCACCAUCGACCGAUCCUGAUGUCUUCGGAAGGAUUUGAGUAAGAGCAUAGCUGUUGGGACCCGAAAGAUGGUGAACUAUGCUUGAAUAGGGUGAAGCCAGAGGAAACUCUGGUGGAGGCUCGCAGCGGUUCUGACGUGCAAAUCGAUCGUCAAAUUUGGGCAUAGGGGCGAAAGACUAAUCGAACUAUCUAGUAGCUGGUUCCUGCCGA
This 833-nucleotide ribosomal RNA is filed under the name Leptosphaeria errabunda. RNAcentral's name for it is "LSU rRNA". It matches the Rfam family "Eukaryotic large subunit ribosomal RNA", at positions 113 to 964 of the family's 3401-position model. The record is from RNAcentral. Lineage: Eukaryota; Fungi; Ascomycota; Dothideomycetes; Pleosporales; Leptosphaeriaceae.